UAUGACAGUUACGGGAAUCGUGAGGGCAUUGUGGACAGGGCGAAAGAUGCGGUAGGGAUGGGUCCGAAUUCAGGAACUGGCUACAACAACCAGCCUGGAUACGACAAUUACGGUGACCGAAGGCAUGAAGGAUUGGCAGACAGAGCGAAGGAUGCUGUAGGUAUGGGGCCUAACUCAGGUUACAACCACCAGCCUGGAUAUGACAACUACGGCAAUCGUGAGGGCGUUGUGGACAAGGCGAAGGAUGCGGUAGGCAUGGGUCCGAAUUCAGGAACUGGCUACAACAACCAGCCUGGUUAUGACAGUUAUGGUACCCGGAGACAGGAAGGAUUGGUAGAUAGAGCAAAGGAUGCCGUCGGCAUGGGCCCCAAUUCGGGCACCGGCUAUAACAAUCAGCCCGGAUAUGACAACUACGGUAACCCAAGACGCGAAGGAGUGGUAGACAGGGCGAAGGAUGCUGUAGGUAUGGGGCCUAACUCAGGUUACAACAAUCAGCCCGGAUAUGACAACUACGGCAAUCGUGAGGGCAUUGUGGACAAAGCCAAGGAUGCAGUCGGUGUUGGCCCCCACUCGGGUACUGGCUACCACAACCAGCCC
RNAcentral lists this long non-coding RNA (597 nucleotides) under Physcomitrium patens. RNAcentral's name for it is "long non-coding RNA (PPAT_LNC008941)". The record is from RNAcentral. Lineage: Eukaryota; Viridiplantae; Streptophyta; Bryopsida; Funariales; Funariaceae.